This 1284-nucleotide ribosomal RNA is filed under the name metagenome. RNAcentral describes it as "bacterial SSU rRNA". It matches the Rfam family "Bacterial small subunit ribosomal RNA", at positions 242 to 1520 of the family's 1533-position model. The record is from RNAcentral.
UAGCUAGUAGGUGAGGUAAAAGCUCACCUAGGCGACGAUCAGUAGCUGGUCUGAGAGGACGACCAGCCACACUGGAACUGAGACACGGUCCAGACUCCUACGGGAGGCAGCAGUGGGGAAUUUUGGACAAUGGGCGAAAGCCUGAUCCAGCCAUUCCGCGUGAGUGAAGAAGGCCUUCGGGUUGUAAAGCUCUUUCGCAAGGGAAGAAAACUUAGAUACUAAUAUUAUCUGAGGUUGACGGUACCUUGAUAAGAAGCACCGGCUAACUACGUGCCAGCAGCCGCGGUAAUACGUAGGGUGCGAGCGUUAAUCGGAAUUACUGGGCGUAAAGCGUGCGCAGGCGGUUUUGUAAGUCAGAUGUGAAAUCCCCGAGCUCAACUUGGGAACUGCGUUUGAAACUACAAGACUAGAAUAUGUCAGAGGGGGGUAGAAUUCCACGUGUAGCAGUGAAAUGCGUAGAGAUGUGGAGGAAUACCAAUGGCGAAGGCAGCCCCCUGGGAUAAUAUUGACGCUCAUGCACGAAAGCGUGGGGAGCAAACAGGAUUAGAUACCCCGGUAGUCCACGCCCUAAACGAUGUCUACUAGUUGUUGGUGGAGUAAAAUCCAUGAGUAACCCAGCUAACGCGUGAAGUAGACCGCCUGGGGAGUACGGUCGCAAGAUUAAAACUCAAAUGAAUUGACGGGGCCCGCACAAGCGGUGGAUUAUGUGGAUUAAUUCGAUGCAACGCGAAAAACCUUACCUGGCCUUGACAUGAAACGAACUUUCCAGAGAUGGAUUGGUGCUCGAAAGAGAACGUUAACACAGGUGCUGCAUGGCUGUCGUCAGCUCGUGUCGUGAGAUGUUGGGUUAAGUCCCGCAACGAGCGCAACCCUUGCCAUUAAUUGCCAUCAUUUAGUUGGGCACUUUAAUGGGACUGCCGGUGACAAACCGGAGGAAGGUGGGGAUGACGUCAAGUCCUCAUGGCCCUUAUGGCCAGGGCUUCACACGUAAUACAAUGGUCGGUACAGAGGGUCGCCAACCCGCAAGGGGGAGCCAAUCCCAGAAAGCCGAUCGUAGUCCGGAUUGAGGUCUGCAACUCGACCUCAUGAAGUCUGAAUCGCUAGUAAUCGCGGAUCAGCAUGUCGCGGUGAAUACGUUCCCGGGCCUUGUACACACCGCCCGUCACACCAUGGGAGUGGGUUUUACCAGAAGUAGGUAGUCUAACCUUCGGGAGGACGCUUACCACGGUAGUAUUCAUGACUGGGGUGAAGUCGUAACAAGGUAGCCGUAUCGGGGUGCGGCUG